GGCUUCAUAGCUCAGUUGUAGAGCGUUUUCCACCGGAAUCGGGAACAAGGUCAUGGGUUCGAAUCCCGUUGGAGCCU
Non-coding RNA from Desmophyllum pertusum, 77 nucleotides. The record is from the annotation of a GenBank genome assembly. NCBI's taxonomy places the organism in Eukaryota, Metazoa, Cnidaria, Anthozoa, Scleractinia, Caryophylliidae.